Molecule: long non-coding RNA, 1393 nt
Filed under: Callithrix jacchus (white-tufted-ear marmoset)
Lineage: Eukaryota; Metazoa; Chordata; Mammalia; Primates; Cebidae
Description: lncRNA (ENSCJAG00000080061.1)
Source: RNAcentral
GGGCGUGAGUCAGCUGCUUUUUCCAGAACAGGAAUUGGCUUCAGGUGAGGGUCUAGCGUCGCCCCACGGACCAAUCUUGGUUCACGAGGCCGAGGGCAGCCCAGCAACCACGCGGAAGCCCGGAAUCACCCGCAGCGCUCCCGUCCUCCACAGGUCUUUGCAACAGCCCCAGCACCACCCGCGGGACGAAAUGGCUGGAGCUGGGGGCGGCCACGGGGAAUCGCUGGUUCCCAGGAUGGAGUUUUACUUCUAACAGUCAGGCCUCUCUGCGGCAAGUCGGCUGGAGUUUGCUGGAGGCCCACUCCAGACCCUGUUUGCCUGGCUAUCACCAGCAGAGGCCACCGAAGAGCAAAUAUUGCUGCCUGUUCCUUCCUCUGGAAGCUUCGUCCCAUAUGGGCACCCACCAGAUGCCACCUGGAGCUAUUUUGUAUAAGGUGUCUCUUUGCCCCUCCUGGGAGGUCAGGAGGCACAGGGUCAGAGACCCACUUAAGAAGACAGUCUGAAGCGCUGUGCUGGGAGAUUCACUGUUCUCUUCAGAGCCAGCCAGCAGGAAUGUUUAAGUCUGCUGAAGCUGCACCCAUAGCAACCCCUUCCUCCAGGGAGAUGGGAAUUUUGUCUAUAGUCCCCUGACUGGGGCUGCUGCCUUUCUUUAGAGAUGCCCUGCCCAGAGACAAGGAAUCUAGGGAGGAAGUCUGGCUACAGUGGCUUUGCCAAGCUUCAGUGGGCUCUGCCUAGUUUGAACUUCCCAGCGCUUUGUUUACACUGUGAGGGGAAAACCACCUACUCAAGCCUCAGUAAUGGUGGAUACCCUUACCCCCAUCAGGCUUGAGUGUCCAGGUCAACUUCAGACUGCUGUGCUGGCAGUGAGAAUUUCAAGCCAGUGCAUCUUAGCUUGUUGGGCUCCAUGGAGGUGGCAUCUACUGAGCUAGACCACUUAGCUCCCUGGCUUCAGUUCCUUGUCCAAGGGAGUGAAGGUUUCUGUCUCACUGAUGUUCCAAGUCCACUGGGGUAUGAAAAUAACUCCUGAAGCUAGCUUGGUGUCUGCCCAAAUGGCCUCCCAGAUUUGUGCUUGAAACCCAGGGCCCUGGUGGCUUGGGCACCCAAGGAAAUCUCCUGGUCUGUGGGUUGUAAAGACUGUGGGAAAAGCAGUCUUUGCAUCUGGGCCGGAGUGCACCAUCCCUGAAGACACAGCCCCUCAUGGCUUCCCUUGGCUGGGGGGAGAGUUACCCAAGCCCUUGCACUUCCCAGGUGAGGCAACACCCCACCCUGCUUCAGCUCCCCAUCCAUGGGCUGCACCCACUUUCUAAUUAGUCCCAUUGAGAUUACAGGGUACCUCAGCUGCCUUCUGCAUUGAUCUUGCUGGGAGCUGCAGACUGGAGCUAUUCCUAUUUGG